RNAcentral lists this ribosomal RNA (569 nucleotides) under Hyphomonadaceae bacterium. RNAcentral's name for it is "bacterial SSU rRNA". It matches the Rfam family "Bacterial small subunit ribosomal RNA", at positions 1 to 533 of the family's 1533-position model. The record is from RNAcentral. Lineage: Bacteria; Pseudomonadati; Pseudomonadota; Alphaproteobacteria; Hyphomonadales; Hyphomonadaceae.
UAAUUCAUGAGUUUGAUCCUGGCUCCGAUUGAAUGCUGGUGGUAUGUAUUGACACAUGCAAGUUGAACGAAGUUAAUUUUAUAUUAAUUUAGUAGCGUACAGGUGAGUAUUUUAAAGAAUUUUUCUUGCAGUACAGCAUAGUUUUAAAUAAUUCUGUAUAAUGUUUCUGAUCAUAUUUUUAAUUAAUAUAUUUCAUAUGAUCGUAAUUUUUAGGAACCAAAGAUUUAAUAUUGCUGUUAGAAAAAGCUUUAAUAGGAUUAGGUUUAAUAGUAAUUUUUUAUAAAAGAUCUUUAUAAAAAGGGUAACUGCCUACUAUACUAAUGAUCCUUAGUUGGUCUGGGAGGAUGAUCAACCACAUUAGGACUGGAAAAAUGCCUAACUUCCUUAGCGGGGCAGCAGUGGGUAACUUUGGACAAUGAGCGAAAGCUUGAUCCAGCAAUACCACAUGAGAGAACUUAAGGUUGUAAAUUACUGUAAAUUUCAAUAUGCAAUGAUAAAAAAAUUUUAUGAUAGUAAUUGUAUACAGUCCCGACUAACCUCGUGCCAGCAGUCGCGGUAAUACGAGGGGG